AUUGAACGCUGGCGGCAGGCCUAACACAUGCAAGUCGAGCGGAUGAAGGGAGCUUGCUCCUGGAUUCAGCGGCGGACGGGUGAGUAAUGCCUAGGAAUCUGCCUGGUAUUGGGGGAUAACGUCCGGAAACGGGCGCUAAUACCGCAUACGUCCUGAGGGAGAAAGUGGGGGAUCUUCGGACCUCACGCUAUCAGAUGAGCCUAGGUCGGAUUAGCUAGUUGGUGGGGUAAGGGCCUACCAAGGCGACGAUCCGUAACUGGUCUGAGAGGAUGAUCAGUCACACUGGAACUGAGAAACGGUCCAGACUCCUACGGGAGGCAGCAGUGGGGAAUAUUGGACAAUGGGCGAAAGCCUGAUCCAGCCAUGCCGAGUGUGUGAAGAAGGUCUUCGGAUUGUAAAGCACUUUAAGUUGGGAGGAAGGGCAGUAAGUUAAUACCUUGCUGUUUUGACGUUACCAACAGAAUAAGCACCGGCUAACUUCGUG
Molecule: ribosomal RNA, 484 nt
Filed under: uncultured bacterium
Lineage: Bacteria
Description: partial 16S ribosomal RNA
Rfam family: Bacterial small subunit ribosomal RNA
Source: RNAcentral